UGCAGUCGAGCGGACAGAUGGGAGCUUGCUCCCUGAUGUCAGCGGCGGACGGGUGAGUAACACGUGGGUAACCUGCCUGUAAGACUGGGAUAACUCCGGGAAACCGGGGCUAAUACCGGAUGCUUGAUUGAACCGCAUGGUUCAAUUAUAAAAGGUGGCUUUUAGCUACCACUUACAGAUGGACCCGCGGCGCAUUAGCUAGUUGGUGAGGUAACGGCUCACCAAGGCGACGAUGCGUAGCCGACCUGAGAGGGUGAUCGGCCACACUGGGACUGAGACACGGCCCAGACUCCUACGGGAGGCAGCAGUAGGGAAUCUUCCGCAAUGGACGAAAGUCUGACGGAACAACGCCGCGUGAGUGAUGAAGGUUUUCGGAUCGUAAAACUCUGUUGUUAGGGAAGAACAAG
RNAcentral lists this ribosomal RNA (407 nucleotides) under Bacillus sp. (in: firmicutes). RNAcentral's name for it is "bacterial SSU rRNA". It matches the Rfam family "Bacterial small subunit ribosomal RNA", at positions 56 to 453 of the family's 1533-position model. The record is from RNAcentral. Lineage: Bacteria; Bacillati; Bacillota; Bacilli; Caryophanales; Bacillaceae.